This 631-nucleotide ribosomal RNA is filed under the name Holtermanniella nyarrowii. RNAcentral describes it as "LSU rRNA". It matches the Rfam family "Eukaryotic large subunit ribosomal RNA", at positions 1 to 609 of the family's 3401-position model. The record is from RNAcentral. Lineage: Eukaryota; Fungi; Basidiomycota; Tremellomycetes; Holtermanniales.
GGCCUCAAAUCAGGUAGGAUUACCCGCUGAACUUAAGCAUAUCAAUAAGCGGAGGAAAAGAAACUAACAAGGAUUCCCCUAGUAACGGCGAGUGAAGCGGGAUGAGCUCAAAUUUGUAAUCUGGUGGACUCAGUUCAUCCGAGUUGUAAUCUAUAGAAAAGUUUUCCGCGUCGGACCGUGUCUAAGUCCCUUGGAACAGGGUGUCAGAGAGGGUGAGAAUCCCGUGCUUGAUACGACCACCGAUGCUAUGUGAUACUUUUUCAACGAGUCGAGUUGUUUGGGAAUGCAGCUCAAAAUGGGUGGUAAAUUCCAUCUAAAGCUAAAUAUUGGCGAGAGACCGAUAGCGAACAAGUACCGUGAGGGAAAGAUGAAAAGCACUUUGGAAAGAGAGUUAAACAGUACGUGAAAUUGUUAAAAGGGAAACGAUUGAAGUCAGUCGUGCUCUCUGAGAUUCAGCCAGUUAUUCUGGUGUAUUUCUCAGUGAGCGGGUCAACAUCAGUUUAGAUCGCUGGAUAAGGUCAUUAGGAAUGUGGCUCCCUCGGGAGUGUUAUAGCCUAGUGUCGCAUACAGUGGUUUAGACUGAGGAACGCAGCUCGCCUUUAUGGCCGGGGUUCGCCCACGUCCGAGCUUA